This 595-nucleotide ribosomal RNA is filed under the name Bondarzewia tibetica. Its description in RNAcentral is "eukaryotic LSU rRNA". The stretch from base 193 to 346 matches the Rfam family "5.8S ribosomal RNA". Lineage: Eukaryota; Fungi; Basidiomycota; Agaricomycetes; Russulales; Bondarzewiaceae. The record is from RNAcentral.
GCUCAGAGACUGCGGAGGACAUUAAUGAACGACGACCGGGGUUGAUGCUGGCCUUUCGAGGCAUGUGCUCGCCCCGCUCAUCCCUCUCACACCUGUGCACCCUUGCGUGGGUCGGCGUCCUCGUCGGCCUGCGUUUUAUCACAAACCCUCGCAUGUCUAAGAAUGAUAACGAUGCUCUAACGCAUUUUAUACAACUUUCAACAACGGAUCUCUUGGCUCUCGCAUCGAUGAAGAACGCAGCGAAAUGCGAUAAGUAAUGUGAAUUGCAGAAUUCAGUGAAUCAUCGAAUCUUUGAACGCACCUUGCGCCCUUUGGCAUUCCGAAGGGCACACCUGUUUGAGUGUCGUGAAAUUCUCAACCCCGUCUUCUUUUUUGAAGAGCGGAGGUUGGACUUGGAGGUCGUUGCCGGUCACUCGUGAUCGGCUCCUCUGGAAUGCAUUAGCGAGACCCUUGUGGUGGCGCCUUGGUGUGAUAAUUGUCUACGCCAUGGACGUGCCGCGAAUUUUGUGGGUGCUCGCUUCGAACCGUCGCAAGACACUUUCAUCGAACCUUGACCUCAAAUCAGGUGGGACUACCCGCUGAACUUAAGCAUUAA